Manihot esculenta (cassava) is the source of this 1314-nucleotide long non-coding RNA. RefSeq lists it as uncharacterized. The transcript has 4 exons. The record is from RefSeq and is a predicted model, not a curated record. NCBI's taxonomy places the organism in Eukaryota, Viridiplantae, Streptophyta, Magnoliopsida, Malpighiales, Euphorbiaceae.
GAAGUCGAAACGUGUCGUAUUGCUUUCCCCAGUUGACGUGGCUGCAUAUUAAGGUAGAAACGUGCACCUUUCUGUUUGGCCAAUUGUGCUUGGCUUCCCGCAAUUCGGUUUUUGCCCAACCAAACCGCGUCAGCUUCCCUUUUAACUAGCCCUAAUCGCUAAUGCUAAAGCUUUUACAAUAAAGGUUGCCAUUCUACACAAGGAGAAUGCUGUUGUUUUUAAAAGAAACUGGAAGCUUUUCUCUCCCUUUCACCUCUCAUCUCUAUAUCUCAAAUCCUUUUCAGUUCUCGCCAACAUCAACUCCAUCGCGUCGCCGUCGUUUCUCUCACGCAUUGCGACUACAUCUCUGCAACCUCAUUUCUUUGUCUACGCAAUCUCGAGUCAUGGCAGCAGCCGAAGACUGGAGAUGCUGCUUGCAUGUGGCAUUCGUUUUUGUUUUUUUGAAGGCUGGAGAUUCUCAUGCUCAUGCUUUCUGUUUCUCUCCCGAGCAUUUUGAAGCCAAAUGAUUCCGUUGAUGAGGUUUUCAAGGGAGCAUUGUCAGUGAACUGAUCGCAGGAUCAAUAUCAGUUCAUAAGUUGUUGAAGUUGAUGUAACCAGCUGCAAAACCAAGAAGGCACACAUAAUUGUUUCCUAUUCAAGUAAACUGUAAGCAUGAGCAAGGUCAAUGCAAUGGUGCUUUUGCAUUUAAAGGUUAUCAAAGAAAAAAGGGCUUGGCAUCAAGAUUAUGCAAAGCAACUGGUAGACAUAAUUAAAAUGCUUGUUAUAUGGAGGGAAUUAUACCCCAAUUUUGUAGCUCUUGCUGGUGUAUCAUAGUUCUGUUGCUGUGGCUGGCUAAGCUGAAGAUGGACAGGCACAUUUGAAUCCUCCUCAAUUGCCGCAUCAUUGAUGCUAAGGUAAUCUCUGUUUAGUCCAUUUACAUUUCCUGCUCCAUACACCUGGGAUAUGCAAAAUUUUAAAUGAGGAUGGAUUAAAAAUGUUUGCCAAUUUCAUGGAGAAAGGUUUGACUAUUUGCUUCAUCCGUCCAAGUCCAAUUGACGGUUGUGUUACUUAUCCAAACCUCUACCAUCAUAUACAUUUGCCUGUCCCCUUGAAAAAAUAUUUUUACCUUCUUAUACAGUUCCACAUUUUCUUGGUGAAUGAGGUUUCCCUGAAAUAAAACAAUAAAGUUUAGCUACUUGAAUUGUGGAAAGCUUCAGAAGUAAAAUUACUGGCCAUUGUCUCAGGGGUUCACCUUUCUCUUUAGUUCUUGUAUUUCGUCCAUUAACAUAUGGUCCUAAAGAAAUCAAAUAUUAAUAUCAGUGACAUGCAUGUGCU